RNAcentral lists this ribosomal RNA (630 nucleotides) under uncultured bacterium. RNAcentral's name for it is "bacterial SSU rRNA". It matches the Rfam family "Bacterial small subunit ribosomal RNA", at positions 338 to 961 of the family's 1533-position model. The record is from RNAcentral.
CCUACGGGAGGCAGCAGUGGGGAAUUUUGGACAAUGGGCGCAAGCCUGAUCCAGCAAUGCCGCGUGAGUGAAGAAGGCCUUCGGGUUGUAAAGCUCUUUUGUCAGGGAAGAAACGGUGAGUUCUAAUACAGCUUGCUAAUGACGGUACCUGAAGAAUAAGCACCGGCUAACUACGUGCCAGCAGCCGCGGUAAUACGUAGGGUGCAAGCGUUAAUCGGAAUUACUGGGCGUAAAGCGUGCGCAGGCGGUUUUGUAAGUUUGUCGUGAAAUCCCCGGGCUCAACCUGGGAAUGGCGAUGAGGACUGCAAGGCUAGAGUUUGGCAGAGGGGGGUAGAAUUCCACGUGUAGCAGUGAAAUGCGUAGAUAUGUGGAGGAACACCGAUGGCGAAGGCAGCCCCCUGGGUCAAAACUGACGCUCAUGCACGAAAGCGUGGGGAGCAAACAGGAUUAGAUACCCUGGUAGUCCACGCCCUAAACGAUGUCUACUAGUUGUCGGGUCUUAAUUGACUUGGUAACGCAGCUAACGCGUGAAGUAGACCGCCUGGGGGAGGUACGGUCGCGAGAAUAAACUAACAAAGAAGUAGACGGCGUGAGACGUGACCGACGGACGACCGACCGAGGGAGGUUAGG